CCGAAGCGCGUGAAAAAAGAAUACGACCUUUACACCCAAACGGAACCUUAAUCGUCAGGCCUCAAACCCUAUCCAUCCCCCCCACCCCCAAUUCUGUAUCGCGUUCAGAAUCCAGAUCCCUCUUCCUUCCUUCUGGCCUUAAAGUUCUUAUGAAGGUCAAACUCUUGGACCCCUAGCAUUUCGCUCUCCGUCCUGGAUCCCGACGUCAGUUGAUGAGUCCUUCGGCAACGCCAAACCCUAGAUUCUUUUCCUUGUCUUUUUGUUUUUAAUUAAUGGCGAUGGAGGGCUCUGUGGAGGAUCUCGGAGCCCCGGAGUCUUGGGAGGUCGCCGAUUUGGACGAGUCCAUGAACCGCCUGCUGCUCUCCUCCAAGCCCCCCCUAGUACGGAGCGAGGGCUCUGCUCCAGCUUCAGCUCCUUCCUCGGUUUCAUCGACAUUGAAUUUAGCUUCGGCGUUGCCCCGUGGUGAUGGUAGCGAGAACGUGUUGGACGAUGCUGUUAAUCAGGUCGAUCAGUUUCUUCGCGAAGCUUUGCAGAACCCUCGUGAGCGCUUAUCAAUUUUAAGGAUGGAGCAAGAUGUUGAGAAGUUUAUCCGUGAUCCUACCCAACACCAACUAGAAUUUCAACAGCUGCCUACAUCCUAUUUACGAUUGGCUGCACAUCGGGUGGCACAGCAUUACUCGCUGCAGUCAAUGGUUUUAUUGGACAAUAGUUUGCCUGAUGGUUCAGGUUCCAGAAUUAUUGUUCGAAAAACUUCAGAGUGUCAGCUUCCUCUGAUUCGCCUUGCAGAUAUUCCUGCAAAUAUACCAUCAGAAGAUAAUAGUGCCAUUAAGGUUGCAAUCAAGCAGAGGCCAUCGAAACGGUCUCAGAUUGUCGGCAAUGCAAUUUCAAAUUCUUCGAAGGCAGGCAAUUCCAAAAGCGUAGAGGAGAGAAAAGAGGAGUAUAACAGGGCUCGUGCUAGAAUAUUCAACUCUACUAAUAAUAUUGGUGGUGGAAUGAGUGGGAAGCCAGAAAGUGAGGCUAGGCUACAGGAUAAUCCCCAGCAUGGUUCCUUGGGUAUUUCAAAGAUGGAAGAGAAAUCUGUUCCAGGCAUUACAGCUGUGAAUUCUGGUGGAGGUCUAAUUGAUUCUUCAACAAGUAGCAGUAGAUCAGCUAGAAUUAGGACAGAGAAGGAGCCAAUUGGUCGGAUCAAACCAAAUAGUAAGGUGGCUAUUUUCAGGGACCGUGAGGUUGAUCGCAAGGAUCCUGAUUAUGACAGGAGUUAUGACAGGUAUACACAAAGAUUCGAUCCUGGUUUUGGGUUUAACGGAGGACCAUAUACCAUGCAGCCUAUGUACACCCCUGCAGUGAACUACAACACUGAAUUUCCACAACUUGGUUCUACUCAUAGGCCCCAGAUUUCUCCUGAGCACCAACCUCACCCGCUUCCUCAACAUCUGCCUGGGGCUUGGGGUGCACCAUCAACCCCUACAGGAAUUGGGUAUGGCCAUCCAGAGACCAUGAUGGCGCCAUUCAAUCCUAAUCAUGUUGGUGCUCGCUCCACAUCGGCCAUAUACCUGCAUUCCUCUCAGUACCCUUGUCAGCAUCCGGGGAUGCCUUUCAUUCAUACUCGUGAACAAGUUCACCAAUCAUUUUCGCAGCCCAACCCAUGAGAUUUUGCAUUUGUGGAAACCGAAACUUACAUGUUCUUUGCCAACCACACCCAACCAAGGUCCACAUCAUUCCUCCAUCCCAUUGACUUCUUUGGAGUCUCACCAGCAGCAACCUGAUGCAAGUUUUGGAUUAGCCCGGCCCCGAUGAGGGCAUGGGCCAUGCCUGCACACUGCCAGUUGGAAGUCAGUCUUGUAGCAUGAUGAGGGCCUAUCACGUUUGUUCAUAUUAUCUUUAGCUGGCAGAAGUGCAGGCAUAGAGAACUGAGAUGGGCUGGAGUGGAUGCAUUGUGCACCCCAUUCUUUGAUUCAUUCCACCAUCUUGGUCUUGAUGGAAGCUUCUUACAUCUUUGAUGGAUGAUGAAGCUCACUCGGUUUACGAAUUCCAUUGAUGGAAGCUUCUAGCAUCUUUGAUGAACGAUGAAAAAACUUACUGGUUUUACUGUUACAUCAUUUAGUUGUGGUCUCUUGAAGCUAUGAUUUGCCGCAGAUGAUGAUGAACAUGGAGAAUAGAAGAAGAAUUUUAUUAGAGCUGGGAAAGUAAUGGAGCAGUUUGGAUGAAGGUCAACUCUUCAAAACCAUCAAGCUCUGUUUUAUGUCUUCAAUGUUUUAUUGACAGAGAACAGACAGGUAAAUAAAUUUGAUUUUUACAGCUUAACUACUCAAUUAAGUUCGAGCAUCACCAAUGUAUGGGGUUUCUUUUCGGCAACAACAUCGUCAAGAAUCGAAGUCAAUGCUUUCAAGGAAGAUUCAGCCAGUUGGUUGUUUGGCUCAUAGGAGAGAUUUGGCGUGCAUCCCCUGGCUUUUAUUUUUUUAAGAUCCGAUCAUCACUUGCUAUGCAUUCCUGCGACAGUCGUUUUUAGAAAGAAGAAAGCAGAUCACAUUAUGUACCAUAUCCGCCAUUUUGGUCCCUGUAAUUAUAUCUUUUGAUCAAUAUUUUCAAUUUCAUUGGGCACAUAUUACUCAUAUCUGUAUUUUUUGCUGAUUCUGAAAAUGCCGAUAGUUGUGACUACCUAAAUUUAUGGACAUAAUUAACCUCUCAAUGUACUCUAAAAACCGAUAACUGGUUCCUUGUUUUUAAA
RNA transcript from Carya illinoinensis, 2728 nucleotides. It is a transcript of the gene named cAMP-regulated phosphoprotein 21-like, with no coding region annotated. NCBI's taxonomy places the organism in Eukaryota, Viridiplantae, Streptophyta, Magnoliopsida, Fagales, Juglandaceae. The record is from RefSeq and is a predicted model, not a curated record. The transcript is spliced from 5 exons.